CGCGGCUUCAAACUGCAGUCCGCACAUGCAGGUCCCCACCACGCUCAAAGUCGUAAAUUCGUCCCCGUCUAGCCGCCGCUGCUGCCGCUGCAUUUCCAAUGCAAUUUCUCUCUCAUACUUUACUUUACCUCGUCCUUCUGACUUUGGCUGACGACACGGACUGACAGUUUGAUUUUCCCGCGACCCACCACCAAAGUCACUCACUCUGACUCAGUAGUUCGCCGAUUCACUUUCGCUCAUUCAAUAUCUACGGCCGCCCCCCCCCCCCCCUUUGGUUUGGUACUAUACGCCGUCCGUUUAGUCUUCGUGGUACCGCGUCGUGGUGCGUGUCCACCCCUUUUUCCUCCGGCAUUUUCGUACCCACCCGGGUCUUAAUAAUAUAGUGUUAGUUUUUUAAUAUUUCAAUAAAAAAAGUGAAAAAUGUCCACUUCAGACGGACAGGAGUACGAAAGUAAAAUGGACAUCAGUUCAAAAGCCUCCAGUACCUCCUCGAGUACGUCGAACCCCCGUACCCCGCCGAACUGCGCGCGAUGCCGGAACCACCGUAAAAAAAUCGCCCUUAAGGGCCACAAACGGUACUGCAUGUACCGGCACUGUAAGUGCCAAAAGUGCCAACUGACCUCGGAGAGGCAACGGGUGAUGGCGAUGCAAACGGCCCUACGUAGGGCCCAAGCACAGGACGAGGCGAUGUUGAAGAACGGCAAUCUGGAUAUGGCGAUGUUACCGCAGAAAACGCCGAGUCCGUUAUUGAAUGUGGACAGGGCCAGUUUGGAUUGCGACUCGUCGGUGUCGUCCGCGUGUUCGACCUCGAUCGCGCCGUUACCGAAGAAAGUGUCGCCGGUACUGGCCGCACCCGCUACCAGCAGUACUUCCUCCUCGAUGCCCGUUGGACUUGUCAGUGAGGUGGUUCCUUAUGAAUAUAAAGCUCGUCCAGAUGAGCCACAUAGUAUAUUAACUAUAGGACAUCAAAGUACAGACCUCCUAGAAGACUGUCAUAAGCUCCUAGAGAAAUUCAACUACCCGUGGGAAAUGAUGCCCUUAAUGUACGCCAUCCUGAAGGACGCCAGGGCGGAUUUAGAAGAAGCGUCGCGACGGAUAGACGAAGGCAAACGGGUAGUAAACGAAUAUUCAAGACUACACAACCUGAACAUGUACGACGGCGUGGAAUUACGUCCCUCGACCCAUAUGAAGACGACUCAAGAUAGAAGAAUCAGCUCCUUCACAGAAACGCCGUUCAAGUCGGUAAAUCUACAGUUCAAGUGCAACCUACUACUAUAAACUGUAAAUUUUUUUUAUUAUAUAUAUUUUUUUUAUUCGGGCUGUUAUACCAAAUAUAAUAAGUAUUCAGUUAGUUCCGUAAAGUAUUUAAUUUUUUAUGAUCAUUAGUAUUAAAUAAGAAGAAAAAGUUCGAUUUUUAAAAGUAGAUUUAGCUAAUUUAAUGUUAACUUGUAAGCUUUCAAUCUUUUUGAAUUUGAAUCUGUAGUAAGAAGAAAGAAAAACUUUGUGGCUUGAUAAGCAUAUUCGGUUCUUCGUGCCAAGGCAGCAGAGGACGCCCUGAGGAACGCCCGUUUCACUCAGCUGUACUACAGGACGUGGGCGGCUUUCCAUCACGCGCCCACGCCCGUGACGGUUUACCAUACGCCCGCGCCCACCUCCCUGGGAGCG
RNAcentral lists this unclassified non-coding RNA (1665 nucleotides) under Anthonomus grandis grandis. RNAcentral's name for it is "protein doublesex-like". The record is from RNAcentral. Lineage: Eukaryota; Metazoa; Arthropoda; Insecta; Coleoptera; Curculionidae.